Molecule: non-coding RNA, 73 nt
Organism: Parelaphostrongylus tenuis
Lineage: Eukaryota; Metazoa; Nematoda; Chromadorea; Rhabditida; Metastrongylidae
Source: the annotation of a GenBank genome assembly
GCCUCGAUAGCGCAACGGUUCAGCACACGCUCCCGGAAAGGGUGAAAUGUGGGUUCGAAUCCCAGCCGACGCA